Molecule: non-coding RNA, 135 nt
Organism: Triticum aestivum (bread wheat)
Lineage: Eukaryota; Viridiplantae; Streptophyta; Magnoliopsida; Poales; Poaceae
Source: Rfam
AUAAUACGCCCUCCGUCCCAAAAUUCUUGUUUUAGAUUUGUCUAAAUACGGAUGUAUGUAGUUAUGUUUUAGUGUUAUAUACAUCCGUACAUAGACAAAUCUAAGACAAAAAAUUUGGGAUGGAGGGAGUACUAU